ACCUGCUUUCAUUAGAUAUCCACUACAGGAAGCCAUGAUGAAGGACACAUUAGAACGUGCAAGGGAGCCCAACCUGAACUUGAAAAGCUUCCUUCAGAAUGCAUAUAUCCACCCAGUCUUCAAAGGUGGAGAUGACAGUGACUACGAGGAAGCUACAAAAGAGGGGGAGAAAGAACCUGCGUUGGUCCUAACGAAGCGCCAGUCUCGAAGGAACACACCAUUGGCUAGUAAACGUAGCCGUUCAUUUUCAU
This 251-nucleotide unclassified non-coding RNA is filed under the name Hevea brasiliensis (rubber tree). The record is from RNAcentral. Lineage: Eukaryota; Viridiplantae; Streptophyta; Magnoliopsida; Malpighiales; Euphorbiaceae.